CCCAGAACGUCAUCUGUAACAGUGAAUUGUGGGUAAUAUGCUUCGGCAAAGUCCGCUUAGAUGCGCGUUUAGCCGAAGUGUGGAUUGAGGGAGACAAGUCUGACUAAAAGUGGAGGUUUCUCCACCUGUAGGCGUUCCGUGAUCACGGACAGUGAUUGGUUGGCUUUAUGUCCUCUGUUUUUCACGGAGGUAUAAAUACAGAGCUAACCAGAGCUGACCUGUAUGAAGUUGCACGAGAAGCGCAGAAUGAAGGUGUCGUUGACUGGAAGAAGUUCUCUAAAGAAUUUCAGGCUGAGUACCGGAAGCCGUACCUCAUAUAAACCUGCUUAAGUUGUGGAACCACAUUUAAAGAUUGUGGUGCAGAUUACUGGGGCAAUGGGAAACGAGGACAGCUGAGAGGCUUUUAUUCUGAACCCAGUACUCCGGGGUACUGCAGCCACUUCUGCGCCAUGGAUGCAGGAUGCCAUGAAGAGUUUUAAGAUGUCUUCAAAAGUUAAAUUCUUCAGAAGUACACCACCACCAAGUGAUGCCUGCACAUGUUUUUUUGAUGUAAAAUAAAGACCAUCUUUAACCUCA
Molecule: long non-coding RNA, 576 nt
Organism: Girardinichthys multiradiatus
Lineage: Eukaryota; Metazoa; Chordata; Actinopteri; Cyprinodontiformes; Goodeidae
Exons: 3
Source: RefSeq, a predicted model, not a curated record